This 692-nucleotide non-coding RNA is filed under the name Trichuris trichiura (human whipworm). Lineage: Eukaryota; Metazoa; Nematoda; Enoplea; Trichinellida; Trichuridae. The record is from RNAcentral.
AAAUAAGUAUCCUUUAGCUUUAAAUUUCUCACCCAAGCUCCUUGAUAUAUAUAACUUACAAGGUAAGCCUAUGCAAUGUAAAACUACAUGGACAGGUGUCACGAGGUAAACUAAUGUGCCAGCUACCGCGGUUAUACAUUGAUUUCCUAAUUUCUAUCUUGUUAUUCUUGAACCUUUUAACAGUUAUUAUUCAUUUGUCUAGUGAAAUCGUAUUCCAUUUGUAAAUUAAAAGCUUUAGUUCAAUAAAAUAAAUUUAAUAAUAAAACUAGGAUUAGAUACCCUAUUAUUCUAAAUUUUAAAUAUUAAGAAGUAAAAUAAAUCUCAAACUUAAUCAGGACGACGGUAGAAUUUUAUUAGAGGAGGUUGUUCUUUAAUCGAUAACCCUCGCUCGUUUCUUUUUCUUUAUUAUGUAUAUCGCCGUUGAAACUCAACUUAAGAUUGAGUUAACUUAUUUAUAACUAUAGGUCAACAGGUCUAGAUACAAAUAAUGUAAAAGUGUGAAAUGACCUACAAAAUGCAAAUAAUCUUAGUGGUAUCCAGUAUAAUGCUAGAUACCAAAGGAUUUAAAAGUAAUAUUAAUUAAUUCUAAUAGUAUAAUGAAUUACACCGAUUCUAUGUACAUAUCGCCCGUCACCCUCCUUGGAGGUAAGUCGUAACAAAGUAGAUCCUUCGGAAGAAGGAUCUAGCCAAUA